UCCCAGGUGGUCCAGUGGCUAAGACUCCAUACUCCCAAUGCAGGGGACCCAGGUUCAAAUCCUGGUCAGGGAA
Molecule: transfer RNA, 73 nt
Filed under: Bos taurus (domestic cattle)
Lineage: Eukaryota; Metazoa; Chordata; Mammalia; Artiodactyla; Bovidae
Also listed under: 4 other names
Rfam family: tRNA
About the family: Transfer RNA (tRNA) molecules are approximately 80 nucleotides in length.
Source: Rfam by way of RNAcentral